CCGCCCGUCACACCACGGGAGGUGGAGACGCCCGAAGCCGAUUAUCUAACCGUUUGGAAGAAGUCGUCGAAGGGGGAAUCAAUAACUGGGGUGAAGUCGUAACAAGGUAGCCGUAUCGGAAGGUGCGGCUGGAUCACCUCCUUUCUAAGGAGA
RNAcentral lists this ribosomal RNA (153 nucleotides) under Clostridioides difficile. RNAcentral describes it as "partial 16S ribosomal RNA". It matches the Rfam family "Bacterial small subunit ribosomal RNA", at positions 1390 to 1533 of the family's 1533-position model. The record is from RNAcentral. Lineage: Bacteria; Bacillati; Bacillota; Clostridia; Peptostreptococcales; Peptostreptococcaceae.